Ahaetulla prasina is the source of this 1737-nucleotide RNA transcript. It is a transcript of the gene named PAXX non-homologous end joining factor, with no coding region annotated. The transcript is spliced from 9 exons. Lineage: Eukaryota; Metazoa; Chordata; Lepidosauria; Squamata; Colubridae. The record is from RefSeq and is a predicted model, not a curated record.
GCGGCCAGAGCUCCCUCUGCAGGGCCGGCGGAGGCGGCCGGAGCAGCCGCUUUGGAGAUCGGCCGGCAGGCGCCGCUGCCUCUCCGGGUCUAGCGGGCGGAUGCCUCUGCCGGAGCCUGGCGCGCCGAUCGGGAGCGGCCGGCCGGAGCGAUGGCUCCGCCGGGGCCGCUGCGCGUGUUGAGCCACGGAGGGCGGCGGUUCCUCUGCUUCUGCGGAGACGGAGGCUCCUCUGCGAGGCUGCAGCUGACCGACGCUUGCGAGUUCUGGAGCUGCAGCGUCUCUUCGGAGAAGCUGAACGGACAGGAGGAGCCCGGCUCUCCCGCCGGCAGCCUCUCCAGACUGCGGGAAAUCUUGCAGGGCCAGACGCCCAUCCUCCUCACCCUCCAUGACGGCAAGGCCACGCUGCAGGUCCAGCACGGUGGGCAGAGCGUGACCUUCGACCUGGACAAAGCCUCCCUCCCCGAGGCCAGGAGGCAGCUGCAGGACCUCACCUUUGGCCUGGUGGAGCAGCUGCAGACGCUGGAGAAACGCCUGGAAGAGGGCACAGCCGCUGCCACUUCCGUGGCCCUCAGGAGCCCGGAAAAGAUCUCACCAAGCCAGAGUCUCUUGGGAGCAGACUUCAGUCCGCGGAAGCCCAGAGGAGAAGCUGGUCCGAUCAAGCGGCGCCUGCCUGGGGAGUCCCUUAUUAACCCUGGAUUCAGAAGUUCCUCCUUCCAGAUGUUGGACUUGAAUUCCUAUCGCUCCCAACUAGUAGAGGAUGACAGCAAGAAGACCCCGAUGGGGGUAGACUUCGAAGACGCCUGAACCGUUUUCCAAAUCAAAUGGGAAAGAACUGCUUCAGCAUGGAUAUUUUUAAAAUUAUUUAAGCCUUAAACUACACCAGGCUAGUUAUUUUUGGAUCCGCGCAGGCGUUGAUGGAAUGGGAAGACGGUUCGGCCGCCGUUUAAUUGAGCCUCGUCGGCACUAAAGCCUCGCAGCCCCUUCCUGACCUGCCUUUCAGUGGGAACAUGGGCGCUGGGUAUGCCUCUCACACCCACCCAACCAGCUUCCUUGCACCCAGCGGGGGACCAGGGAGCGCCCCCCCCGCCCCACCUCUCGGCUGUGAUCAGAUUGUUCCCCAGCCAAAUCCAAAACCGAGGCAGCGUUUCAGGUUGGACAAGAGAGGUUCCCUCGGCCAGGACAGGUGCCUGAAGGCAGGGAUUUGGCAGUUUCGUUUUGCGAAAUGGAUUUGGGCAGUCUUCCUCUGAACACAGCUGCACGCAAAGAGAUCCCUUCGGCUCCAAGUGGGGGAAAUAGGACCGUUGCAGCCGCCCGUUGGAGGAAAAAGGUGCGCCAGGACUUCCCAGCCCCUCCCUGCAAGAUGCAACCCCCGGGAGCCACACUGGAGGGCUUGCAGGUCCCCUCCAGCCGGUUGUUGAGGGGAAAGCCUGCCUGGGGAUGUCCGAAUGCGAGCUGGACCCAGAGGGCCCACCUCCCAGCUGUGUGAAACGAAGCAGAGGCUAGGAGCAAGGAAGGGCCCCGUCCAGACACAACCUGCUCCAAGGCCAGAGGCUGGAGGGGGCCAGGAGAGGCCUGUCCACUCUGCUCUUCAGCUUAUGGCCUCUCCGGCAACUCCCUUAGCAGAUGGGACCAUCUGGAGGCUCUUCCUCCAGGUCUCCAAUCGGUGGCUUUGGCCACAUCACCCGAGGUUCCCUCUGGAGCAUCCGGGCCCGAGCGGCAGAGGGAAGGGAGAGCGAG